This 84-nucleotide ribosomal RNA is filed under the name Ferula akitschkensis. RNAcentral's name for it is "partial 5.8S ribosomal RNA". It matches the Rfam family "5.8S ribosomal RNA", at positions 73 to 154 of the family's 154-position model. Rfam says of the family: 5.8S ribosomal RNA (5.8S rRNA) is a component of the large subunit of the eukaryotic ribosome. RNAcentral also lists the same sequence under 1 other name. The record is from RNAcentral. Lineage: Eukaryota; Viridiplantae; Streptophyta; Magnoliopsida; Apiales; Apiaceae.
UGCAGAAUCCCGUGAACCAUCGAGUCUUUGAACGCAAGUUGCGCCCGAAGCCACUAGGCUGAGGGCACGUCUGCCUGGGUGUCA